Long non-coding RNA from Bombus pascuorum, 6995 nucleotides. RefSeq lists it as uncharacterized. The record is from RefSeq and is a predicted model, not a curated record. NCBI's taxonomy places the organism in Eukaryota, Metazoa, Arthropoda, Insecta, Hymenoptera, Apidae. The transcript is spliced from 4 exons.
UCUCUCUCUCUCUCUUUCUGUCUCCAUGACAACAGAUAGACUUUCACAUUAACGAAUCGAUUUCGUCGAGUAAAAGUUGAAGCUACAAUCGGCUCUUAGAGCCACUCAGACAUGCAACACCGGCAAACCGUGAUGAUUGAGAGAAAAAAGUUUCGAUUUCGUCAGGAAAAAGAAUAUUACCGACGAUUGUUACAGUCCAGUGUUAUUAUCGUUUGAAAAAGAAUGGUAAUUAAUAUCGUUGAUACACAUCGAUAACGAAACGAUGAAACGACACGGUUUAGCUUGCUGUACAUCCGGCAAAACAAUGAGUAAAAUCGCGGACCAAUUAACGGUGUAAUGGUUGCACGAUAAUUCGCAACGAUAAAGCUUUCCUCUCUCUGGGGAUCGUUCGAACACCACAAAUUGCCCCAGCUGGCCUUAAUAAUUUUCUUUAAUCACUGCAUUCUAUAUUUAAUUCGUAGCGUCUGAUAGAUACGUGCCGGUGAUCUACAGUUCUUUGGUAAGCUCAGUAGGCUAGCUUAGCGGAGCACUUAUGGCUGAUUUAUACGAACCAUUACCACUAGCAGUGACCCAAUAAGGUUAUCCGCCAACCUCGGUGAACCAGAUCAGUGGCGCUCUUAAAGGUUGAUUCACAAGGCCCACCGUUAGCCUUAAACCGUCCUCGACUGUGAAUCUUAUUAAGGUCAAUGAUGAUACUCUUGUACUUGGUGACUUGGAGAUCAAUAGCGGACUACUACAGUGUUAUUAUUCCUGUUAUUGAAUACGAAUAUGAUUGUCUAUGAAUAUUUUGAUUGCGUUUAAUAAUGUGGACAUUUUUACUGUUCUAUCUCAGGAUAAGACGAAGAGGUUUACUUACUACGAGACAGUUUCAGUGGCAGAUAAAAAUGUGACUGAGUAUAGUAUGAAUGAUUUUGAAAUAUGAAGCGCAGAAAGAAGGCUACUCGACUCGAAGACGAAUUGAAGAACAUAACUCAACGACUAUAGAUACACAUCUUCCAUAUAUUUUAACAAACGUUGUAUUGUACUUUGUAACUUUCUUCACUUUAGAUCGCUCGAAGCAAGGAAAGCACUUAACUCCAAGCAAAUUAAACUCAAGAAUAGAAUUGGAUAAUUGGAUUCAGAAAUUGUAUCGGUUAACUCGAUAGUAUUAGCAUAGUAUUAGUAAUUAUGAUUGUGCGCUAUUGCACUAUUGUAUUCUUAAACAUUCGAGACUCGUUCUAUGUGUCUCUUUCAUAUGCACUUUGGCCGCUUUAAAUACUAAUCUAAGAAGAAAGAAGUUUCCCAUUUGCCAUUACGACAGCAAGAAAGAGAAUUCUUAGACGACACGUCGUUAAAGCGUGGGCGUAGCUUUUAACUACAGUUUCCGUGUUAUUAGCGCUGGCUAGUCGUUAGCCAAAUUUUUCCUGGGCAAACUAUUCAACUCGUAAUCCGAACACAACAGUGCUAAAAGCUCAUCGUCGUCCUUAAUAGUGCGCUCUGAAUACGAGCCAAAUAUUAAAAUCUCUUCUCGCGGAAGGCAAAACUUCAAAGACGCGGCGAAGCGGUUCAGAACGAAGAUUCCAGAAGAUUAGCCGGGAAGAAACGCGGAAAUUCGGUGGCUCCUAGACAUCGAAAAUCCGCUGCAAAACAAGGAUAGAGGCGAGAUAGUUCGAGUGAAAGGUAGUGAAAAGGUGGAAUAAGUCGUCGAAUUGGAAGAUAACGAAAGGAAGGGGGACAGGGGAAGAAACUGAGCAGAACUGAAAGUGGAAAGACGGUGAAAACUUUAGGUUGAAACGGUUAGAGUGCCCUUCGGAGCGAGACGGUAUGAAGAUAUCGAGGAUAGGGUCUCGAGACGAGUGGCAGAGUGAGAGGACUCACGGUGAUGUGCAAUUAGGAAAAUUGAAUUCCGCCGUAAUUAACUUUCUUAAUUAAUAGAAUCGCGGGAUUGUAUCUUUAAUCUGGCCGUUGGAAGUGCUUCUGGCAGCUUCUGUCACCGAACGGAAGAGAAUGUGGCUUGGCUCCGACUCGGGAUGAAACCAGGAACAGAUGAAGACGACUGCAAGGGACGAGGAUAGAGAGAACGAUAGGAAGAGCGGGAUGCAAGAUUGACGAACGUGCAGAGAACGUGGAAGAACAGGGAGAAGAAAGGGAUAAGACAGGAUUGUUGCAAGACGGAGAAGCGGUGGCGACGAUUGCUAGCUACUCUGGGAUGGGUAGUCGCUGUAAGUUUUGAUAUAUGCGCCAGGUUAUUUACGAUCGCAUAAGAAUUAGCCCAGACAGUAAGCCGGUCUUUCUCUAGCAAAAAGCCGACUUUAUGCCGCGGACUGGCACUGUACUCCACCGGUUUUUGCUCGUUCGCUUUCGGAAAAGUCGUUAAAUCUCGCGCCGCAUUCGACGAAUCAGCCAAAUGACGUUUCUUGCGUCCUGUGGUUGUAUCGAUGGAAGUUCGGACGACGAUAAUUCCACUCGCGUGUCUCAACUUCUUCGAUACUGUACGGUGGUAUCGUUCAAAUCUGUAGGAUAUUUCGACGAAGCUAAACAAUGCAACGAGUUCAUUGAUUCUCGAAAAUGUAGUUCUUCGUGUAGUAUCAUUUCGCUAUAUCUCUUCAGUUAUACGUUGAAACAAUAGCCCUGUCAUGGAAUUAUUCGACUCAUCCUCUCGUUCUUUGAUAUCUUCCUUGGCUGGUCUUAAGGUACAUGAUAUUUUCUCAUUUUUUCGUUAUUGUAUUAACAACUAAUAGUCUUUAUCCGUCUCAUAAUAUACAACAAACUUCAGUAUUCCAUGCGAAAUUGAAGUAUAAAUUUGAACAUGCCGAAGCUGGGAUAAUUCAAAUAACCCCGUCUUCCAUAGAACAGACCGGACAAGUGGCGAUAGAUUCGCGAGACUAGCUGUUUGCAUUGGUUCGUGGAUACUAUUUGAAAAUUCGUUGGAUCCCCGGGCGAGAUUGUCACAACGAAUUAUGCUGGUCGCGUGAAAAAUUAACGGGGAUCGUUUUCGACGAUCGACGUACGUUAGAAAUCCAAGCGGAAAGUCAUUUUUCUCUUCUUUCCUUUAACGGCCACUGGCAGAUUAAUUAAUCACGCCGUGCCGAUUUCGUUCGACCACGCGGCUCGAUUAAUAAAAUCGAACCCCGACUCUCGUCCCUUGUUUAAGUUAACUUGCUCGCCGUGCAGUUAAUUACGCCGAUCGAUGAACGCCGCAUAUUUUUGACGUUCAUGGAAUACGAGGACACACGGUGUGCACUCGUAAAACUGGUUUUGACGAGCGCCUUUAAUCCCGGCCAACGAAUGGAAACGACUCUGAAUUCACGAUGAAACGCGUAAAUUCGUAAUCUGCAAAAUGUACAACAACUCGCCGAACUUCUGAUUUAUGAUCCUGGACAACGCUUUCACAGGAUUUUCCACGUUAUGCCGUGUUAUCUGACACAUCUAAAAUAUUAUGAGGAAAGUUGUACAUGCGUACAUUGUAUUUUUCGACCGAUGCGCUGCAAUUAAGAGAAUCUCUACUCUUGUUAUUCGACCGCUUACGCAGCAGUGAAACCUUGUCAGUCUGCCAUCAAACUUAUCGAAGUUCGAGCGUGGCGCCAUGAAGAAUAUUAAAGCGACUCAUUGGUGUUCUGAUUGGAAUGUCGCAAGGAAUUGUACUUCGUGUUGUUUCAAAGGAAUAUCGAUGGAUUGGUCGAUGGAUUUCUUGGAAACAUUGGAAUAUCAAGCCUAGAUGAUGGAAAACGAGCAUUUGCCAUUACUGAGCAGCGUUAGUUAAAUGAAGGUGUAGAAUGGUGAGUAUUCUCUUCUCGAUUAUUUACUGAGGCUCGCAAGUAUUAUUAUAGUCGCAGCUAUUAUUAAAUCACUAUUUUACGUAAGUGUUGCUUGUUCCUAAUUAUGUAUACUAACCAUUACAUUUAUCGGAAAACUUAAUUUAACAUAUUUGAGCAAAUUGUAUUUUAUUCGGUAUUUUCCUGAUAUUUUUAGACGAAAUGCAUUUUUAACGUCGCACACAAUAUGUUUUCAUAUAUCAAAGGAAAAAGGCUUUCUCUUGUACAAUUAAAUUAAUUACUGUUAGUUACAAGCUAUACAUUAUUAGUAUUUUACUUUCAUAACACCUAGAAAUUUGAGUAAUACAGCGAGCGAGACUUUGAAAAGAUUUUGCAAGUAAAUUUGAUUAAUUGUAUAAAUUAUUUGAUUAUAAUAUAUGAUGUUGAAUUUUAUGCAGGAAUUUGCACCUGUAAAAUGAUAAAAUUGAAGUUUAUGAUGUAUAACUCGUGUCUUGUCAGUUUAUUAAUGUUCUAUUUUAUUAAUAUUUCAUCAAUUGAUGAAUUAUCAUGCAAGCCGGCCUUUGUUAAAAAUGAUAUUCAACUUUACAUUCAUCAUCCGAUAUCUCAUAUUUAACAGUUUAUGACGGUCAUAACUUUUGUUACGUAAUGAAAUAACUUUCAUCAUUUUUUCAUAAUUUCAUGGCCCUGUAUCUUCUAUUAAACAUUCUCCACAUAUUCUCUAUAAUUUUAUAUCCUUCGCGUACAUUUAGAAUAAAAAUUCAUGAUAAGAACAAAGUAGAAUUUUGCUUUAUUUAACAUGGAAAUUACGUGAAAAAAAUAAAGCUAUACAUGUAUCCAAUAAAAUAAUUACACAACCGUAGUGAAAAAGAUAAAAAAUAACCCACUCCUCGUUCACAGACCACCGUUCGAUAGUUUUAACAUAGAAAUCUCACGUAUUUUAUCAGUUAUUUCUCGUAACAAUAACAUAAUAUUUUCGUCAUUAUUUUACGCGUAACCGGAUAUCGUCAAUUAUAUAUACUGCAGGAAUGAUAGCUAGCGUAUAAUAACGUACAAAAGUACGUAUAUCAAAGAAAAAAAAAGAGGAAACUCCGACGGGUUAAAAAAUAGUCCGGCGGAUGAACAUCAUCACAGUGGCCCGAUUUCACGAGCAUUGUUAUGGUGAUAGAGUUCGAGAAUCAAAAAAAAAAAAAAAAAAAAAAAGAUAGGAGUGGAAGGAAAGAAAGAAAAGGGGUGAAAAAGAGUGGGAUGAAACACGAGCGAAUAGCAAUACGCCUGCACGAACGAAUUUGUUACCAGGCGAGUUUUGAUACCAUUUAAUUCGUUGUUUCGACUGUGACGAAUUCAUCAUGAACGGAGGGAGGCGGGAAAACCUUCGAUUUCCAUUUAACCCAUUCAAACUCGUUUUCGCGUGUUUCUUUAACGAUCGAAAUAGGAAAUGCUCGCGCCGGAUUGUUCGAUAUUUAACUGCAAAUUUUUGCAGAGUUUCGUUUUUAUCCAGGCCAACCAAAUGUUGGAAAUGCCGAUUGGAAACAACAAUCGAUGAGAAUCACGCGCGGUUUUCCACGUCGCGUUGCGAACAUAAUAAAUCUUAAAUUCCCUAGCUAUUCGAAAUUUUUAUAUUCGCGCGACAUGGUCGAAGGGUCACGGGGUGGGGAUCCAAGCAGGCAUGCGAUAGAUUUGUAAUCAAAAACAUUCGUAUUUAGUCCUUCGACGAGUGAAUGGCAACGCAACGUCGCUGUCAAACUUAGCGUAUUAUUUUUGUAAGCACGUGUGUGGAAUAUCGUGCGUAGUGAUGCAUUGCAAAGCCCAAUCUCUAGCUCUUAUCUCCGGUAAAGUGUAUGAAAGAAUAAUUCUUAAACUCUGUAAGAAAAUUCUGUUGUAAAAAUUUCUGUGUUCCUGUGAGCUUAUCCGUAAGAGGAAACUUAUGGAGUGGGGAUAGAAGCACAUAAGCUUUCAUCGACGUUAUACGUCUUUGAUCCUUCGACAGGUGAAUGUCAACACAACAUCAAGUGCAUUUUACGAACUAUGCUGUGGAUGCAUAACAUCGCAAGUUUGGAAUUUAACAUCGUGAGACAGUAAAGUAAAAAGAUACUAAAUCACGAAUUCUGUAAAAAGAUUUCUGUGAUCGUGUGACUAACUUUGUCCAUAGAAGAAAUUCUGGAACGAAUAUAGCAGAAGCAGGUAAGCGUUAAGCACCAUAUGCUUUUUAAUUCUUCAACGAGUCGAAUAUAAAUACGAAAGCAUUUCCAUUGUUCGUCGAGUAAAUUUCGCUUAAUAUAAUUGUCUAUAUAACGUCGCAAGUAAUCCUGAAAUGUAUUUUCUAUCUCGGGAAUCUACGGUGAAGGUACAGAAUCUUAAAUUCCGUAGAAAAAUUUCGUGCUUGAAAUUUCUGCAUUCGUACGACUUUGUCCAUAGGAGAAACUUAUGGAGUGGGGUUAAGAGAUACAGCAUUCGUCGACGCCAUGUGUCUUUGACUCUUUGACGAGUCAAUGUCAACACGACGACGAGUGGACUUCUCGUGCUAUGCUUCAGCGUGGAAUCUCGUGUAGAGUGUAGAGGCACAUGACAACUUUUGAUGGAAUUCGUGAACUGGAUACGAAGCGGACUGCUUCAAAGAACCUGAAUCGAAAAUAUCCGACUGGAUGAUAGAGAGGGACGUCGUUUGUCACGACAAAAUACCCUUUCUGGAAGUUGCCGAGGAAAACAAUUAGAUGACCUAUCGCAUGAUUCUAUCGACAUCCUUCAAGCAGCAACCUGCCAGAUGGAAGUAAAGUAUGAAGCCAGAUGGCGUCGACGUUUUGCCAGACACCAAUUAAAUUCUGGAACGCGAUGUAACGUGGUCAGGAAAAUUACUCGUAGCUAGUUGGAUCUCGACACCGUCUGGAGACAUUGGUGGAUCAAUUUUUGAAGCGCGCCAUGAACGACGUGGAGGGUCGCUACUAAGAACAAUGACGAUGCUGAUGCGAGACAUUCAGUCGUAAAUUAUCCCUGCAAGGUAUUAUUAAUUAAUAGUCUUGUUAAGUCGCGUCACACCGCGCCAAGAGGUGCCAGAAAUUGAACACCUCGAUAAGGGGCUUUAUCUAUUGACACUUUCUGUAUUAUUUAAUUCCUUUAAAAAAUUAUAGGAAGACACAAUAAAAUAAGAUCUUGGACGUAGAACUUCUGCAAUUCUUCGAUCUCCGGUAUUUUUUUUCUGAGAAUAGAAAUGUAGUUAGAGAUGUACAGUGGCUACAAAGUAUG